Molecule: ribosomal RNA, 323 nt
Filed under: uncultured Chlorobiota bacterium
Lineage: Bacteria; Pseudomonadati; Chlorobiota
Description: bacterial SSU rRNA
Rfam family: Bacterial small subunit ribosomal RNA
Source: RNAcentral
GACGAACGCUGGCGGCGUGCUUAACACAUGCAAGUCAACGAUGCUUGCGUAGCAAUAUGCAAGUAGAGUGGCGCACGGGUGAGUAUCGCGUAUGCAAUCUGCCUUUGGCUCUGGAAUAACAUCUCCAACGAGGUGCUAAUACCGGACGACGCAGCGGCACCGCAUGGUGACAGUUGUUAAAGCUUCGGCGGCCAAAGAUGAGCAUGCGUCCCAUUAGGUAGUUGGCGGGGUAACGGCCCACCAAGCCAAUGAUGGGUAGCUGGUCUGAGAGGAUGAUCAGCCACACUGGGACUGAGACACGGCCCAGACUCCUACGGGUGCAG